GACGAACGCUGGCGGCGUGCCUAAUACAUGCAAGUAGAACGCUGAAGAGAGGAGCUUGCUCUUCUUGGAUGAGUUGCGAACGGGUGAGUAACGCGUAGGUAACCUGCCUGGUAGCGGGGGAUAACUAUUGGAAACGAUAGCUAAUACCGCAUGAUAUUAAUUGUCGCAUGAUAAUUAAUUGAAAGAUGCAAUUGCAUCACUACCAGAUGGACCUGCGUUGUAUUAGCUAGUUGGUGUGGUAACGGCUCACCAAGGCGACGAUACAUAGCCGACCUGAGAGGGUGAUCGGCCACACUGGGACUGAGACACGGCCCAGACUCCUACGGGAGGCAGCAGUAGGGAAUCUUCGGCAAUGGGGGGAACCCUGACCGAGCAACGCCGCGUGAGUGAAGAAGGUUUUCGGAUCGUAAAGCUCUGUUGUAAGAGAAGAACGGGUGUGAGAGUGGAAAGUUCACACUGG
Molecule: ribosomal RNA, 460 nt
Filed under: Streptococcus sanguinis
Lineage: Bacteria; Bacillati; Bacillota; Bacilli; Lactobacillales; Streptococcaceae
Description: bacterial SSU rRNA
Rfam family: Bacterial small subunit ribosomal RNA
Source: RNAcentral